This is a non-coding RNA of Plectropomus leopardus (leopard coralgrouper), 332 nucleotides long. The record is from RefSeq and is a predicted model, not a curated record. NCBI's taxonomy places the organism in Eukaryota, Metazoa, Chordata, Actinopteri, Perciformes, Serranidae.
CGACCGAACAGAGAGGGAGAGAAACGGUGUGUUAAUUAAGGAAGUCUAUGAAAACGUUAGCAGCUGUCCAGAUGUUGUCAUGGUAACAAUAAACAGGUCGACAGUCGGAAGCACCGCGCGGUCCUCCGGUGAAACUCAACCGGCACCGGAGUCCAUGGUACACCUGUGGACCUCAGCAGCAGUGCGUGUCUGACCAAAAUCAUGAAGCAGAGCAAAAGGAAAGUUUCCCCAAAGAAUGAGAGCAGAUGUUAGUAUGGAGGCCACCAGGUCCAAACAGUCUAACCAGCUGGACCAGGGGGGAAGCCAGGCUACUGGUAGAUGCUGCACACCAA